AAAUCACAAUGCGGGACUGUUAGUCUUGCAAUUGGAUUGAGAACAACGUACAACUCUUAUCGAUAAGCCAUUGGAGGGCAAGUCUGGUGCCAGCAGCCGCGGUAAUUCCAGCUCCAAUAGCGUAUAUUAACGUUGUUGCAGUUAAAAAGCUCGUAGUUGAAGUGAGGGAGUGUGUGGGUAUAAGAGCUAGUCUCAAGUGCUCACAACCUCCCCCCUCCAAUCGGUGUAGUGGGGUAUUCAGUUAUUCCACUACUCCUUUGGUCGUUUACUGUGAGAAAAUUAGAGUGUUCAAAGCGGGCGUUUGUUUGAAUAGAUUAGCAUGGAAUAAUGAUUGAAGGCUUUCGUGUUCGAUUUGAUUGGUUUGUUCAUGGAAGCAAGGUUAAAAGGAACAGUUGGGGGUAUUCAUAUUCACUAGUUAGAGGUGAAAUUCUCGGAUUUAUGGAAGAUGA
This 449-nucleotide ribosomal RNA is filed under the name Blastocystis sp. RNAcentral's name for it is "SSU rRNA". It matches the Rfam family "Eukaryotic small subunit ribosomal RNA", at positions 475 to 938 of the family's 1831-position model. The record is from RNAcentral. Lineage: Eukaryota; Bigyra; Opalinata; Blastocystidae.